ACCUGGCUGGCUCAGUGUAGAGCAUGGAACUCCUGAUGUCAGGGUCAUGAGUUCAAGCCCCAUGCUGGGUU
Felis catus (domestic cat) is the source of this 71-nucleotide transfer RNA. It matches the Rfam family "tRNA". Rfam says of the family: Transfer RNA (tRNA) molecules are approximately 80 nucleotides in length. The record is from Rfam. NCBI's taxonomy places the organism in Eukaryota, Metazoa, Chordata, Mammalia, Carnivora, Felidae.